Molecule: ribosomal RNA, 253 nt
Filed under: uncultured bacterium
Lineage: Bacteria
Description: partial 16S ribosomal RNA
Rfam family: Bacterial small subunit ribosomal RNA
Source: RNAcentral
UACGUAGGGGCCGAGCGUUGUCCGGAGUUAUUGGGCGUAAAGCGCGCGCAGGCGGCCUCGCGCGCCCGACGUGAAAGCCCCCGGCUUAACCGGGGAGGGUCGUUGGGGACGGCGGGGCUUGAGGGCGGGAGAGGGUGGUGGAAUUCCCGGUGUAGUGGUGAAAUGCGUAGAGAUCGGGAGGAACACCCGUGGCGAAGGCGGCAUCCUGGCCCUGUACUGACGCUGAGGCGCGAUAGCGUGGGGAGCAAACGGG